GAUGAAGAACGCAGCGAAAUGCGAUACGUAAUGCGAAUUGCAGAAUUUCCGUGAGUCAUCGAAUCUUUGAACGCACAUUGCGCCCACUGGUAUUCCGGUGGGCAUGCCUGUUCGAGCGUCAUUAUCCUCCCUCAAACCCCGGGUUUGGUGUUGGACCCAAGUUGUGUGAACAACUGGUCUCAAAGACAAUGACGGCGUCCGUGGGACCCUCGGUGCAACGAGCUUUUAGGAGCACGCAUCGAGUUGCAAGGACCUUCCGGGCCGGUCUCCUUUACCAUUUUACAAGGUUGACCUCGGAUCAGGUAGGAAUACCCGCUGAACUUAAGCAUAUCAAUAAGCGGAGGA
This 345-nucleotide unclassified non-coding RNA is filed under the name soil metagenome. RNAcentral's name for it is "partial contains 5.8S ribosomal RNA, internal transcribed spacer 2, and large subunit ribosomal RNA". The stretch from base 1 to 121 matches the Rfam family "5.8S ribosomal RNA", at positions 35 to 154 of the family's 154-position model. The record is from RNAcentral.